GUACUCGAUUCAGCAGCACAUAUAAUAAAAUCAGAAUGAUAUAGAGAAUUAGCAUGGCCCCUGCACAAGAAUGAGAUGCAAAUUUACAAAAUGUUCCAUAUUUUU
Molecule: small nuclear RNA, 105 nt
Filed under: Dasypus novemcinctus (nine-banded armadillo)
Lineage: Eukaryota; Metazoa; Chordata; Mammalia; Cingulata; Dasypodidae
Source: RNAcentral